This 253-nucleotide ribosomal RNA is filed under the name uncultured prokaryote. RNAcentral's name for it is "partial 16S ribosomal RNA". It matches the Rfam family "Bacterial small subunit ribosomal RNA", at positions 524 to 776 of the family's 1533-position model. The record is from RNAcentral.
UACGGGGGGGGCAAGCGUUGUUCGGAAUUACUGGGCGUAAAGGGCUCGUAGGCGGCCAACUAAGUCAGACGUGAAAUCCCUCGGCUUAACCGGGGAACUGCGUCUGAUACUGGAUGGCUUGAGAUUGGGAGAGGGAUGCGGAAUUCCAGGUGUAGCGGUGAAAUGCGUAGAUAUCGGGAGGAACAUCAGUGGCGAAGGCGGCUGCCUGGCCCAAUACUGACACUCAGGUGCGACAGCGUGGGGAGCAAACAGG